GGCGUCUGGAAAGUUUUUCGGUCAAGGAUGGACUCGCGGCCUAUCAGCUAGUUGGUGAGGUAACGGCUCACCAAGGCGUCGACGGGUAGCCGGCCUGAGAGGGCGACCGGCCACACUGGGACUGAGACACGGCCCAGACUCCUACGGGAGGCAGCAGUGGGGAAUAUUGCACAAUGGGCGAAAGCCUGAUGCAGCGACGCCGCGUGAGGGAUGAAGGCCUUCGGGUUGUAAACCUCUUUCAGUAGGGAAGAAGCGACUGGGUUCUCUCAGACGUGACGGUACCUGCAGAAGAAGCGCCGGCUAACUACGUGCCAGCAGCCGCGGUAAUACGUAGGGCGCAAGCGUUGUCCGGAAUUAUUGGGCGUAAAGAGCUCGUAGGCGGUUUGUCGCGUCUGGUGUGAAAACUCAAGGCUCAACCUUGAGCUUGCAUCGGGUACGGGCAGACUAGAGUGUGGUAGGGGUGACUGGAAUUCCUGGUGUAGCGGUGGAAUGCGCAGAUAUCAGGAGGAACACCGAUGGCGAAGGCAGGUCACUGGGCCACUACUGACGCUGAGGAGCGAAAGCGUGGGGAGCAAACAGGAU
This 582-nucleotide ribosomal RNA is filed under the name uncultured bacterium. Its description in RNAcentral is "bacterial SSU rRNA". It matches the Rfam family "Bacterial small subunit ribosomal RNA", at positions 198 to 778 of the family's 1533-position model. The record is from RNAcentral.